This 237-nucleotide ribosomal RNA is filed under the name uncultured bacterium. RNAcentral describes it as "partial 16S ribosomal RNA". It matches the Rfam family "Bacterial small subunit ribosomal RNA", at positions 118 to 354 of the family's 1533-position model. The record is from RNAcentral.
UAAGCAACCUGCCUAUCAGAGGGGAACAACAGUUAGAAAUGACUGCUAAUACCGCAUAUGCCUUGAGUAUUGCAUGAUACAAAAGGGAAAGGAGCAAUCCGCUGAUAGAUGGGCUUGCGCUGAUUAGCUAGUUGGUGGGGUAAAGGCCUACCAAGGCGACGAUCAGUAGCCGGACUGAGAGGUUGAACGGCCACAUUGGGACUGAGAUACGGCCCAGACUCCUACGGAAGGCAGCAG